CCUACGUCACAUCCGCACAGAGUCUCCAGUUGAAUUCAGUGGACGAACAUGGCGGUGCGUUUGAUUAAUCUGCUACCAUCCAACCUGAAAUAUGAAGUGUUUCAGCUUUCACACACCAAGUUAUGACUUUGAAGCGGGCUGAAAACAUUUUACGGUGUUGUGAAAAUCCUGCAGACCUUUCCAGCGAGGCUCAGCCUGCGGUGGCUCUGUCCUUUCCUGUUGUGUCUGCUAGAGAAAUGUGAGGCUGUUUGAGGCCCUGCUGUGACCCAUCAUGGCAGGGUUAUAGUUGUCUCUGUACAUUUGUGUUUAUUCAGGUGGCUGGAUUCUGCAUUAAUCCACAGGGACAGUGCACGAAGGCUGGCCGCUGCUGUCGAUGGCAUAUGGGUCACGAGAUGUGACCAUGGCGGCUGGCUUCUUCAGGAAUGACUCAUAAAGAGUAGCACAUGAAGAUGGGCAGCUGCCAUCUUCAGUUCCAACCGCGUGGACCACGAGUUUCAAAUAAGGAGAAACCGCAGCAUGUGUCUGCUGUUGAUGUCUCAAUAGACGCCAAGUGCGUGGUGGUGCUUCCAGAGAAAAGCUCUCCAGUGCAGAUGGUUGUUGUUGCUCAAAGCGCCAGAGAUUUAAGAGUCUGGCC
Molecule: long non-coding RNA, 634 nt
Organism: Pundamilia nyererei
Lineage: Eukaryota; Metazoa; Chordata; Actinopteri; Cichliformes; Cichlidae
Exons: 6
Source: RefSeq, a predicted model, not a curated record